UUGAAUUCAGGUCUAUUCUUUUUCCCAGGAACAGGGUUGGAGUUGGCUGGCUGGUAACUCCCCCAUAAAGAGGCAGUGUUCCAGAGAAAUGGCUGGUCUGGAUGUCCCACAGAUGGGGAGGUCAGGAUCUGUGUCCAGUUCACCUCUGAAGCCCCUCAGGAUUUAGUUCCUAAGUUGAACAAAGUGUCCACCAACAGGCCCUUCUUGUCCUUUCUUCCUUCCCUGUUUAUGGAGGGAAGAUAAAAAGUCCAAGUUUUUUGGUGAAACUCUAGUGGGAUAGCUCUCUUUCUAGCUCGCCAAGGCCUCGCUGUUUCGAGUAUCAUGCUGCAUUUCUUGCAUGCUGCUUUGGAAUAUAUUUCAUUCAUUACAAUAAAACAAUUACAAUAAACCAGGAGAAACAUUCUGUAAUCACCUACCAUAUGCAGAGCAUGGAGAUGGAGC
This 441-nucleotide long non-coding RNA is filed under the name Monodelphis domestica (gray short-tailed opossum). RNAcentral's name for it is "lncRNA (ENSMODG00000033340.2)". Lineage: Eukaryota; Metazoa; Chordata; Mammalia; Didelphimorphia; Didelphidae. The record is from RNAcentral.